CGCGGCCUAUCAGCUUGUUGGUGAGGUAACGGCUCACCGAGGCAUCGACGGGUAGCUGGUCUGAGAGGAUGAUCAGCCACACUAGGACUGAGACACGGCCCAGACUCCUACGGGAGGCAGCAGUGGGGAAUAUUGCACAAUGGGCGCAAGCCUGAUGCAGCAACGCCGCGUGCGGGAUGAAGGCCCUAGGGUUGUAAACCGCUUUCAGCAGGGAAGAAAAUGACGGUACCUGCAGAAGAAGGUGCGGCCAACUACGUGCCAGCAGCCGCGGUAAUACGUAGGGCGCAAGCGUCGUCCGGAAUUAUUGGGCGUAAAGAGCUCGUAGGUGGUUCGUCGCGUCUGCUGUGAAAGUCCGAGGCUUAACCUCGGAUCUGCAGUGGGUACGGACGGACUAGAGUGCGGUAGAGGAGAUCGGAAUUCCUGGUGUAGCGGUGGAAUGCGCAGAUAUCAGGAGGAACACCGGUGGCGAAGGCGGGUCUCUGGGCCUUACCUGACGCUGAGGAGCGAAAGCAUGGGGAGCGAACAGGAUUAGAUACCCUGGUAGUCCAUGCCAUAAACGUUGGGCGCUAGGUGUGGGGACUUUCCACGGUUUCCGCGCCGUAGCUAACGCAUUAAGCGCCCCGCCUGGGGAGUACGG
RNAcentral lists this ribosomal RNA (637 nucleotides) under uncultured Actinomycetes bacterium. Its description in RNAcentral is "bacterial SSU rRNA". It matches the Rfam family "Bacterial small subunit ribosomal RNA", at positions 232 to 885 of the family's 1533-position model. The record is from RNAcentral. Lineage: Bacteria; Bacillati; Actinomycetota; Actinomycetes.